CCGUAGCUCAGUUGGUUAGAGCGCACGCCUGAUAAGCGUGAGGUCGCUGGUUCAAAUCCAUUCGGGCC
Molecule: transfer RNA, 68 nt
Filed under: Eggerthella lenta
Lineage: Bacteria; Bacillati; Actinomycetota; Coriobacteriia; Eggerthellales; Eggerthellaceae
Also listed under: 23 other names
Rfam family: tRNA
About the family: Transfer RNA (tRNA) molecules are approximately 80 nucleotides in length. Their secondary structure includes four short double-helical elements and three loops (D, anti-codon, and T loops).
Source: RNAcentral